RNAcentral lists this ribosomal RNA (476 nucleotides) under Scinax nebulosus (Spix's snouted treefrog). Its description in RNAcentral is "partial 16S ribosomal RNA". It matches the Rfam family "Bacterial large subunit ribosomal RNA", at positions 1938 to 2605 of the family's 2925-position model. The record is from RNAcentral. Lineage: Eukaryota; Metazoa; Chordata; Amphibia; Anura; Hylidae.
UAUCCUAACCGUGCGAAGGUAGCGUAAUCACUUGUUCUUUAAAUGGGGACUAGUAUGAAUGGCACCACGAGGGUUAUACUGUCUCCCUUUUCCAAUCAGUGAAACUAAUCUCCCUGUGAAGAAGCAGGGAUAAAAAUAUAAGACGAGAAGACCCUAUGGAGCUUUAAAUUUCAAUUCAAAGCAUAGUGAAAUAGAAUUUUAGGUUGGGGUGACCGCGGAGUACAAAACAACCUCCACAUUGAACUAGGCCUAUUACCUUGAGCAACGAACUACAAUCCUAUGCACAAAAAAAUUUUCAUUCAUUGACCCAAUUUUUUUGAUCAACGAACCAAGUUACCCUAGGGAUAACAGCGCAAUCCUCUUCAAGAGCCCCUAUCGCCAAGAGGGUUUACGACCUCGAUGUUGGAUCAGGGUAUCCCAGUGGCGCAGCCGCUACUAAUGGUUCGUUUGUUCAACGAUUAAAACCCUACGUGAUU